CACGGUAAACGAUGGAUGCCCGCUGUUGGCGAUACAGUGUCAGCGGCCAAGCGAAAGCGUUAAGCAUCCCACCUGGGGAGUACGCCGGCAACGGUGAAACUCAAAGGAAUUGACGGGGGCCCGCACAAGCGGAGGAACAUGUGGUUUAAUUCGAUGAUACGCGAGGAACCUUACCCGGGCUUGAACUGCAGAGGAAGGAAUGAGAGAUCAUGACGCCCUUCGGGGUCUCUGUGGAGGUGCUGCAUGGUUGUCGUCAGCUCGUGCCGUGAGGUGUCGGCUUAAGUGCCAUAACGAGCGCAACCCUUUUCUUCAGUUGCCAUCAGGUUAAGCUGGGCACUCUGGAGACACUGCCACCGUAAGGUGUGAGGAAGGUGGGGAUGACGUCAAAUCAGCACGGCCCUUACGUCCGGGGCUACACACGUGUUACAAUGGGUGAUACAGAGCGUCGGCGUCUGGCAACAGCCGUCCAAUCGCUAAAGUCAUCCUCAGUUCGGAUUGGGGUCUGCAACCCGACC
Molecule: ribosomal RNA, 515 nt
Filed under: uncultured bacterium
Lineage: Bacteria
Description: bacterial SSU rRNA
Rfam family: Bacterial small subunit ribosomal RNA
Source: RNAcentral